This 272-nucleotide unclassified non-coding RNA is filed under the name Hevea brasiliensis (rubber tree). Lineage: Eukaryota; Viridiplantae; Streptophyta; Magnoliopsida; Malpighiales; Euphorbiaceae. The record is from RNAcentral.
AGAUGGAGAAGGAAGCAGAGCUCUUCAUCCUGGGUCGGCGAGCGCCAUUGGCAUUGCUAGACACCCUGAGAUGCCAUCCUUCUCUAAAGUCCUCACAAAGAAAAUCCACAUCCCGAAGCAAACCCACACAGUCCAGCAAAUACAACCCUCUGAUCAUCUCUUGGAAACACAACUACUUGUGAGGAAAAAGAAAAAUUUAUUUUUAUCAAUUGAAUUAUCCUAAUGAUAGAAUUUUCACCAUUCAAAAUACAAGGCAAGAAAAUUUUUUUCUU